AUUGAACGCUGGCGGCAUGCUUUACACAUGCAAGUCGAACGGCAGCGCGGGCUUCGGCCUGGCGGCGAGUGGCGAACGGGUGAGUAAUGCAUCGGAACGUGCCCAGUUGUGGGGGAUAGCCCGGCGAAAGCCGGAUUAAUACCGCAUACGACCUGAGGGUGAAAGCGGGGGACCGAAAGGCCUCGCGCUAUUGGAGCGGCCGAUGUCGGAUUAGCUAGUUGGUGGGGUAAAGGCUUACCAAGGCGACGAUCCGUAGCUGGUCUGAGAAGACGACCAGCCACACUGGGACUGAGACACGGCCCAGACUCCUACGGGAGGCAGCAGUGGGGAAUUUUGGACAAUGGGGGCAAGCCUGAUCCAGCCAUGCCGCGUGCGGGAAGAAGGCCUUCGGGUUGUAAACCGCUUUUGUUCGGGAAGAAAUCCUCUGGGCUAAUACCCCGGGGGGAUGACGGUACCGGAAGAAUAAGCACCGGCUAACUACGUG
This 484-nucleotide ribosomal RNA is filed under the name uncultured bacterium. RNAcentral describes it as "partial 16S ribosomal RNA". It matches the Rfam family "Bacterial small subunit ribosomal RNA", at positions 28 to 507 of the family's 1533-position model. The record is from RNAcentral.